GACGAACGCUGGCGGCGUGCUUAACACAUGCCAGUCGAACGGAAAGGCCCUGCUUUUGUGGGGUGCUCGAGUGGCGAACGGGUGAGUAACACGUGAGUAACCUGCCCUUGACUUUGGGAUAACUUCAGGAAACUGGGGCUAAUACCGGAUAGGAGCUCCUGCUGCAUGGUGGGGGUUGGAAAGUUUCGGCGGUUGGGGAUGGACUCGCGGCUUAUCAGCUUGUUGGUGGGGUAGUGGCUUACCAAGGCUUCGACGGGUAGCCGGCCUGAGAGGGUGACCGGCCACAUUGGGACUGAGAUACGGCCCAGACUCCUACGGGAGGCAGCAGUGGGGAAUAUUGCACAAUGGGCGGAAGCCUGAUGCAGCAACGCCGCGUGCGGGAUGACGGCCUUCGGGUUGUAAACCGCUUUCGCCUGUGACGAAGCGUGAGUGACGGUAAUGGGUAAAGAAGCACCGGCUAACUACGU
RNAcentral lists this ribosomal RNA (467 nucleotides) under uncultured bacterium. Its description in RNAcentral is "partial 16S ribosomal RNA". It matches the Rfam family "Bacterial small subunit ribosomal RNA", at positions 28 to 506 of the family's 1533-position model. The record is from RNAcentral.